UGUAUUUCUUGCCCAAACUCCCUUUUACAGCACUUCUGAGAACAUAGGUCCCUUAGAGCAAGAUGCAAAUCAAUUGCUGUAUUUGAGUGGGAAGCCAUUGAUAUCUAUUUAGAGGGGCCUUGAGUUAGCUGAACAGAAACACUGAACACAGGCACGUUGCUGCAGGCUAAUCCCUUCCAUGAUGUGAGUGUGCUUGGUGCCUUCAAAUCCAAAACCCAAAUUCCUACUGGAAGGCAUUUUCAAUACUGUCACUUUGGAUUUGGACUUACAGACUCAGAUCUCCUUGUGGAAACCAUCUCAAAGUUUCCUGUCAAGAAUUGAGUAGUGUUGAUUCUUUUUCCUUACAAAAGAAAGAUGGUUCCAUCACCCAUUUUCUUUAUUAAAAUAUAAUAAUUCAGGGCACUUUGAAAAUAAAAGAAAAUUCAGUGCAGUCAGCAUACUGCAAGAUCUUUGUAUGGCAACUUGAACAACCAGCAAAAUCUUCUACUGGUUACAAUCGAGAUUAUCUGCAUCUAUCCUGAAGAUGUCCUCUAAUCUUAGUAGUCUCUUUGUUUUUAUGUCACCACAACUGGUGCUUUAAAGGCCAAUAAAGUUACUGGGAGAUGGUUCAGUGACUAAAAGCACUGUAGUUAUCUUACAAAAUGAAUCUGUAAAACGAACCUGAACUUUUCCAAAUACCCUAUUAAAACUGCUCUAUAGAUUAAAGGCUGUGUGAACCACUAUAAGGGAACAGUUACAUCAUGGCCUGGACUGAUGACUGAGCACCAGGUGAGCAGGAUGACUGGCCCAGGAAGCACAAGUGGAAGCAAUUCACCUGUUCUUACCACAUGACUGAAAGGAGUGGACUGACCUGUGAGUCUCACCAGUCUCACCUCGGGAAGAUCGUGGAACAGAUCCUCCUAGAAGCUAUGCUAAGGCACAUGGAAGGCAGGGAACUGAUAUGGAAGAACCAGCAUGGCUUCACCAGGGGCAAAUCCUGUUUAACCAAUCUGGUGGUCUUUUGUGAUAGUAUCAUUGCAUGAAUGGACAAGGGAAGGGCCAUUGAUAUCAUCUAUUUUGACUUUAAUAAGGCCUUUGACACAGUACCUCACAACACCCUUCUCUCCAUGUUGGAAAGAUAUGGAUUUGAUGGUUGGACUGUUUGAUGGAUGAAGAACUGGCUGCAGAAUCGAGUCCAGAGCAUGUCCACAGAAGAGCUACAGAAAUGAUCCAUGGAAUGGAACACCUUCGCUACGAGGACAGGCUUAGAGAGCUGGGGCUGUUCAGCCUGGAGAAGAGAAGGCUGCAAGGUGACCUGAUAGCAGCCUUUCAGUUUAUAAAGCUGAUAUCAAGCUAACUGCCUUAGAUGUAAUGGACUCUGCCAGCGGAUCAGAAAAUAAAAACAACGGAAGAGAAGAAAGAUGCCAAAUGUUUUUGAGGUACUCUCCAGCAGUGAAAUGAAUGAUUUUAGUCAAAUGUGCAUUGUGGAUGCUGGAUGGAUACGAAUUCAGAAUACAGCAAAGGAAAGCAGAAGAAAUAAAAGAGACUACUACAAGUUACGUGAGGAAAGAGAACAACCAUUGUUUGAUUAUACAUACAUACUUAAUUGGAAUGAAAAAAUCCUCAACUUGGUAAUGUAUUUCAUUCUGUUAGCCUUGUAGUUGUUUCAUAUUUGACAAAAAUAAAGAAUACAUCUGAAGUUUUUAAAGCUAGAAGAAAAUAUGAUUGCAUUUUUUCGUGUGUGACUGGUUUUGAUUUCAUCUUACAGUUUGUUGGUUCACAAUGCAGCAACAAAACUUUAAACAGAGGAAACUGUGUUCCAAAAGAAAACUCUGUAUCCUCCGAAAAAACACUUGGUGAAUACUCCUAUGUAUGUCUCUAUGGCUGUAACUUCAGUGAAACUUACAGCUGGGAACCUUUACAC
This 1903-nucleotide long non-coding RNA is filed under the name Gallus gallus (chicken). RNAcentral's name for it is "lncRNA (ENSGALG00010006620.1)". The record is from RNAcentral. Lineage: Eukaryota; Metazoa; Chordata; Aves; Galliformes; Phasianidae.